This 461-nucleotide ribosomal RNA is filed under the name uncultured bacterium. RNAcentral describes it as "bacterial SSU rRNA". It matches the Rfam family "Bacterial small subunit ribosomal RNA", at positions 30 to 504 of the family's 1533-position model. The record is from RNAcentral.
CGAACGCUGGCGGCGUGCCUAACACAUGCAAGUCAAGGAGAAAGUUUCCUUCGGGAAGCGAUUAAACUGGCGAACGGGUGAGUAACGCGUAGAUAAUCUGCCCCAAUCUCAGACAUAACUUCGAGAAAUCGAUGCUAAUAUCUGAUGAGGUGCAUGCAUCAAAGACUUCGGUUGGAUUGGGAUGAGUCUGCGUCUGAUUAGCUUGUUGGUGAGGUAACGGCUCACCAAGGCUGCGAUCAGUAGCUGGUCUGAGAGGAUGGUCAGCCACACUGGAACUGAGACACGGUCCAGACUCCUACGGGAGGCAGCAGUGAGGAAUAUUGGUCAAUGGGGGAAACCCUGAACCAGCGACGCCGCGUGUGGGAUGAAGGAGCUUCGCUCUGUAAACCACUGUCGAGAGGGAAGAAAACCCCACUUAGUGGGAUGGGACAGUACCUCUAAAGGAAGGAUCGGCUAACUAC